GACGAACCGUGCGAACGUUGUUCGGAAUCACUGGGCUUAAAGGGCGCGUAGGCGGGUCUGCAAGUCGGAGGUGAAAGCCCGCAGCUCAACUGUGGAAGUGCCCCCGAUACUGUGGAUCUCGAGGGAGGUAGGGGCGUGCGGAACUUCCGGUGGAGCGGUGAAAUGCGUAGAUAUCGGAAGGAACACCGGUGGCGAAAACGGCGCGCUGGACCUCUUCUGACGCUGAGGCGCGAAAGCCAGGGGAGCAAACGGG
RNAcentral lists this ribosomal RNA (253 nucleotides) under uncultured bacterium. RNAcentral describes it as "partial 16S ribosomal RNA". It matches the Rfam family "Bacterial small subunit ribosomal RNA", at positions 524 to 776 of the family's 1533-position model. The record is from RNAcentral.